Molecule: long non-coding RNA, 421 nt
Organism: Symphalangus syndactylus (siamang)
Lineage: Eukaryota; Metazoa; Chordata; Mammalia; Primates; Hylobatidae
Source: RefSeq, a predicted model, not a curated record
UGGGUCCCCCAGACUCUGCUCCUGCUAUGCUCCCACCUCACUCUUCCCUGAUUUCUCCUCCUGGCAUUCCAGCCUCCUGGACCCCAGUAUCUUCUUCAGACUGAAGAUUUGACUUCUGCUUGGUCUCCUAGGCAGCCCUAGGAACUAACACAGGCACCGACUGCACCAAGCAGGAUUCUUGAAGCUGAGGUUACAGUGGAGAAAGAAACAGGUGACUUCAGGAGGAACCGCGGCUCUGCAGUGGUGUGUGUCUCUCUCAGGCAUGGGGGUCUCAGGAGAAUUUGGAAACUGGCACCUGCGGAGCAGCCCCCAGAGGCCCACUGACUCCCUCUUCCCCAAGGCCAGCCCAGGCACAGAGAAACUCCUGAAAGUUUGGGGGAGCCCUCCCCAGCACCUGCUUCUCCUGACAUUCUACCUCUCC